AAUGCUUCUCGGCCUCUUGGCUAAGAUCAAAGUUCAAGUGCUGUUCUUAUCGAAUUGACCUUCGAUAGAGACUCAGAUGAGUCUUGAUAAGGUUAUUUGAUUUGUGGAGCUGGGUAAGAUCAAGGGUUUUCUCCUACUUGCCACGGGUUGUCCCAUCGGUGCAUUGCUGCUGGGAAACUUCCUUCCCAAU
Heterorhabditis bacteriophora is the source of this 190-nucleotide non-coding RNA. The record is from Rfam. Lineage: Eukaryota; Metazoa; Nematoda; Chromadorea; Rhabditida; Heterorhabditidae.